This 1377-nucleotide ribosomal RNA is filed under the name Bacillus subtilis. RNAcentral's name for it is "bacterial SSU rRNA". It matches the Rfam family "Bacterial small subunit ribosomal RNA". Lineage: Bacteria; Bacillati; Bacillota; Bacilli; Caryophanales; Bacillaceae. The record is from RNAcentral.
AUACAUUGCAACGUCUGAGCGGAUCAGAUGGGAGCUUGCUCCCUGAUGUUAGCGGCGGACGGGUGAGUAACACGUGGGUAACCUGCCUGUAAGACUGGGAUAACUCCGGGAAACCGGGGCUAAUACCGGAUGGUUGUUUGAACCGCAUGGUUCAGACAUAAAAGGUGGCUUCGGCUACCACUUAUGGACCCGCGGCGCAUUAGCUAGUUGGAGGUAACGGCUCACCAAGGCGACGAUGCGUAGCCGACCUGAGAGGGUGAUCGGCCACACUGGGACUGAGACACGGCCCAGACUCCUACGGGAGGCAGCAGUAGGGAAUCUUCCGCAAUGGACGAAAGUCUGACGGAGCAACGCCGAGUGAUGAAGGUUUUCGGAUCGUAAAGCUCUGUUAGGGAAGAACAAGUGCCGUUCAAAUAGGGCGGCACCUUGACGGUACCUAACCAGAAAGCCACGGCUAACUACGUGCCAGCAGCCGCGGUAAUACGUAGGUGGCAAGCGCCGGAAUUAUUGGGAAGGCAGGCGGUUUCUUAAGUCUGAUGUGAAAGCCCCCGGCUCAACCGGGGAGGGUCAUUGCUGGGGAACUUGAGUGCAGAAGAGGAGAGUGGAAUUCCACGUGCGGUGAAAUGCGUAGGUGGAGGAACACCAGUGGCGAAGGCGACUCUCUGGUCUGUAACUGACGCUGAGGAGCGAAAGCGUGGGGAGCGAACAGGAUUAGAUACCCUGGUAGUCCACGCCGUAAACGAUGAGUGCUAUGUUAGGGGGUUUCCGCCCCUUAGUGCUGCAGCUAACGCAUUAAGCACUCCGCCUGGGGAGUACGGUCGCAAGACUGAAACUCUUGACGGGGGCCCGCACAAGCGGUGGAGCAUGUGGUUUAAUUCGAAGCAACGCGAAGAACCUUACCAGGUCUUGACAUCUGACAAUCCUAGAGAUAGGACGUCCCCUUCGGCAGAGUGACAGGUGGUGCAUGGUUGUCCAGCUCGUGUCGUGAGAUGUGGGUUAAGUCCCGCAACGAGCGCAACCCUUGAUCUUAGUUGCCAGCAUUCAGUUGGGCACUCUAAGGUGACUGCCGGUGACAAACCGGGAAGGGGAUGACGUCAAAUCAGCCCCUUAUCCUGGGCUACACACGUCAAUGGACAGAACAAAGGGCAGCGAAACCGCGAGGUUAAGCCAAUCCCACAAAUCUGUUCUCAGUUCGGAUCGCAGUCUGCAACUCGCGUGAAGGGAAUCGCUAGUAAUCGCGGAUCAGCAUGCCGCGGUGAUUCCCGGGCCUUGUACACACCGCCCGUCACCGAGAGUUUGUAACACGAAGUCGGUGAGGUAACCUUUAUGGAGCCAGCCGCCGCAAGGUGGGACAGCAUGAUUUGAAAGUCCGUUAAA